Non-coding RNA from Aegilops tauschii subsp. strangulata, 3207 nucleotides. NCBI's taxonomy places the organism in Eukaryota, Viridiplantae, Streptophyta, Magnoliopsida, Poales, Poaceae. The record is from RefSeq and is a predicted model, not a curated record.
CCGUCCCACUCGCCUCCCCCUCCUCGUCGCCCUCCUCUCUCUCUCUCUCUCUCUCGCUAACCCCUCUCUCUCUCCAUCGCGCCGGCCGGUUCCGGCCAGCUCUGGCCCGCGCGUCUCCCCCGCGACCCCCGCCUCCUCUCCUGUCGCCGCUGCCGCAGAAGCUCGCCGCCGAUGCCGGUGACCUAGCCCGCGCGUCUCCCCCGCGACCCCCGCCUCCUCUCCUGCCGCCGCCGCCGGAGAAGCUCGCCUCUGCGCCCACAAGCCUCGGAUUCGGCGGGAUCCGGACGAGGAGGGGUGGAUGAGACGGGGGAGGAGGAGGAGGAGAGAGUGGGGGCUUCUGGGGAGGAAUAUCCCCGCCGCCUCCUCCGCUCCUGCCUCCACAAGUCAGGGGGAUGGGGCUGCUCGGGCUCAGCCUGUGGGAUGUCGACCGGACCGGCAGCGAUGGAGGAGAAGGGCCGGGCAGGUGCGUGCAGGCGGGAGAAGCUGGGGGCGCUCGUCGGUUGGGGAGAUGGCGACCACCUGAGCUUCUCCGAUUGACCUAGACAGGGCCACGACAGCAUAAGCAAGGGGUGGGGGCGAGCAACCCUCUGAAGCCACGCAUGUCUACAGAAGAAGAAUUUUGAGAAUGAGAUUGAUAAAGAUGAACAAGACCAGCCGCUUUGUCACAAGCAUGGCAGCCUGCUCAACUAUCUCCACUGCCUGCAUACAGCUGUUUCAGAACAGCGCCGACCAACCCAGGUUUAUGUUUCCUUUCCAAGGGCGUUCGAAUAUAAUUACCAUCCAUCGAUUACAGAUGUUACCAGUACUAAGUGUGUGCCUUAUUAGUUUGUUCUUUAUUACAAAGUUUGGUUGUAGAAGAACGAAACGAAGCACACAUCAGGAAGUCAUGCUCUUUCCAACAACAACAGCAAAAGCGCAUAUAAGAGAACUUGAGGAAGAAGUGAAGCUCCUCAAGAACCUUUCGCACCCCAAUAUUAUGAGGUACCUCGGGACUGUCCGUGAGGAAGACACACUGAAUAUCCUGCUGGAGUUUGUUCCUGGAGGGUCUAUCCAGUCGCUUCUUGGAAAACUCGGUUCAUUCCCGGAGGCAGUCGUUAGGAAGUAUACUAGGCAGAUUUUGCAAGGGUUGGAAUAUCUGCAUAGCAAUGCAAUAAUACAUAGAGACAUUAAGGGUGCAAACAUUCUUGUUGAUAACAAAGGCUGCAUUAAGCUUGCCAAUUUUGGGGCAUCUAAGCAAGUUGCCAAGUUGGUAUUUGCAUUAUUGUUCCUGCAUAAUCUCUUGGUAAUGAAGCGUUGUCCGGGGCGCUAUCUGGAAUACCAUCUCUUUCUAAUGAAUUUAUGUGUUAGUUGCUGCCUUCUUUCAUUAGAUAGUUCGAAUAAUAAUACAAACGUAUGGAUUUUUGUAAACUGGUAUAUGAUUCAAUGUUAUAUAUUUUGUAAACUGGUAUAUGGUUACCAGAGUCACCUUGCAUAAUUUUUUAAAGGAAGAGUGAACGCAGUCCUGAACUUGCACUAAUAUAUUGUGAUGCUCCUACGUUUUGCAGAACAAUGCAGUAAUGAUAAGAACUAGAAUUAGACUGCAUUGCAUAUAUGUAUAGGUUACCACUUCUUCGCUGUAAUUAUUUGCCAUGUAAAAGCCAAUUCACUUGUCAAAAAUAUGCUUUGAAGAUCAGUUUCUCACAAUUUGUAAUAGUGAAACUCGUGCUUCUUUGCCCAUACUAGAAAAUACACCAAUUUUUUUAUCACCUUAACUUGUCGAUGGCAUACCAUCCUAUCACAAACCCUCAAUAAUGUAUAAGUCUUUUUUUACCAGCUCUGAGAUAUGACAUAGUGAUGUCCCACAACUAAGAUUAUUACUGUGAAAAAGAACUAACCUCAUGUACUUUGGUACAGCCUUCACAUAAGAAGCUGUACACUAGAGGGAAGAACAUGAUGUGUGUGUGUGUGUUGGUGUGUGUGUGUGGGGGGGGGGGGUAAAACCCCUGGGUAUGCAUUCUUCACUUGAACAGAUUCAAUAAUUUAUCCCAAUACUCUCUUUGUAUUUUUGUCUUUGAGGGAAUCUAAGAUUUGAUGUAAAUCGGUUUUCCCUUUCAUUUCUUCGUAAAAAUUAUUUUCUGUACUAUAAUUAUUUAAUGUGGUGCAUCUCUUCUAAUAAUCUUAGCCGACCUGGUUUACUUGUUUUGAUAAGAUUGUUCCAUGGAAUCCCAGGGUCUGAUGAAUAAAGGUGCAGGACACCUCAGAACCGCCUAUGUUUGUGACAGUGCACUGGGGCUCAAGCGACAAUGAGCAGGUGGGAGGAUCGUUCAGCUGACCAAGUGCAGUAUGACGGUGAUCUCUGAACAGUUGCAAGGAGGCUAAUAACAUGUUAGCUCCUCUUAAUAUCUUGGUUGAUGCCAUCUGUCAGAUUUAGCCCACCGAGUCCCUAUUUUGCAUUUACUUUGCUUCUCUAAAGUUCUCUUCGUGCUGCAAGGAAGACGUGAGGGUUAGUUGCAUUCCUGCUGCCUUGCUUGAGAUGAAUCCAUUUGGUUCUUUUGCCUUUCAAUUCUGUAACACACCAUCGUAUCUAUUGGUAGGUGUCAUUCUGCUUCUCCUUGCAUGUCUAUUUGUGCGCUUGGGUUGCAGAUCAGGUUACUGACACAUGGGAUCGUACAGUUAUUCUAUUACUCAGGGCCCACCCUGGUGGUCAUUAUAUCCCUGGGUUAAGCAAGCUGAGCAGGUUAUGCAAGCUACUGUGUAAAAUGCGCAUGCAUCACUGCCUAAAAAAGGGUCCAGACAGCAACGACAAGUGCUUACUAUGCUCCAUUAAAGCAGCUAAGAAGAUAAUUUAGUUUGGGUGAAUUUAUUAAUUUAUUAAUUAGCUUGAAGAAGAAAAAUAUUUCAGAACGGUGCGGUCAUAGAGUUAUGUUCAGUUUGGUGCUUUGGGUCAUUCUGGAUAAGUGAUUGGGUAGCGGUUGCUGUUUACUCGCAAGGGAUGGAUUGGUGUAAGUGAGUUUAUGAAAGCCUACUGGAACUGUUUGUGGAAGUAGUUGUAUGAACAUGUUGUGUACAACUGAACUGAUCUGAUUGCUUAUCUUUGGAAAUCUUCACCUGAUGUGUUGUGCAUUGGUCUGCAUUAUAUUACUCUUGUAUUUUUAUUUCUCUUUUAUGAUAGUUUAAGGUGAAAACAGAGUAUUUAUAAUUGUGACAUGGACUACAGACUUUUCCUAA